GACGAACGCUGGCGGCGUGCUUAACACAUGCAAGUCGAACGGAAAGGCCCUGCUUUUGUGGGGUGCUCGAGUGGCGAACGGGUGAGUAACACGUGAGUAACCUGCCCUUGACUUUGGGAUAACUUCAGGAAACUGGGGCUAAUACCGGAUAGGAUCUCCUGCUGCAUGGUGGGGGUUGGAAAGUUUCGGCUGUUGGGGAUGGACUCGCGGCUUAUCAGCUUGUUGGUGGGGUAGUGGCUUACCAAGGCUUUGACGGGUAGCCGGCCUGAGAGGGUGACCGGCCACAUUGGGACUGAGAUACGGCCCAGACUCCUACGGGAGGCAGCAGUGGGGAAUAUUGCACAGUGGGCGGAAGCCUGAUGCAGCAACGCCGCGUGCGGGAUGACGGCCUUCGGGUUGUAAACCGCUUUCGCCUGUGACGAAGCGUGAGUGACGGUAAUGGGUAAAGAAGCACCGGCUAACUACGUG
RNAcentral lists this ribosomal RNA (468 nucleotides) under uncultured bacterium. RNAcentral describes it as "partial 16S ribosomal RNA". It matches the Rfam family "Bacterial small subunit ribosomal RNA", at positions 28 to 507 of the family's 1533-position model. The record is from RNAcentral.